RNAcentral lists this small nuclear RNA (316 nucleotides) under Cebus imitator (Panamanian white-faced capuchin). RNAcentral's name for it is "7SK RNA (ENSCCAG00000004476.1)". It matches the Rfam family "7SK RNA". From Rfam's summary of the family: 7SK was discovered as an abundant small nuclear RNA in the mid-70s but a possible function has only recently been suggested. Two independent studies have found that 7SK RNA binds the CDK9/cyclin T complex (known as elongation factor P-TEFb). The record is from Rfam by way of RNAcentral. Lineage: Eukaryota; Metazoa; Chordata; Mammalia; Primates; Cebidae.
AGAUAAUGAGGGCGACAUCCGUCACCCUAUUGAUCACCAGGGUUGAUUCAGCGGAUCUGGCUAGCUAGACAGGUGUCCCCUUCCUCACCACUCCAUGUGCAUCCCUCUUAAAGCUAUGCACUCAGUGGAAGAGGACACCUAUCCCCAACAGAGGAAGACCACUCUUCAGUAAAGGGUAUACCAGUAGCUGCACUCCCCUGCUAGAACCUCCAAACAAGCUCUCAAGGUCCAUUUUUAAGAAAACAUAUGGUAGUCAUGCCUCCGAGAUUCCAGACACUCCAAAUGAGUUGUUGCAUGUGGCAGUCUGCCUUUCUUU